UAAGAUGUAAUUAUAAAUUCAAAAUUAGUAUUAGUUAAGUUCUUGAAAAUUAAAGAUUUUGGCGGUAUUUUAGUCUUUUCAGAGGAACCUGUCCUAUAAAUGAUAAUCCACGAUUAGUUUUACUUUAUUUUUUAAUUUGUAUAUCAUCGUAGAAAAAUAUUUUAAAAGAAUAAAUAUUUAUUUUUUAUAAAAAUUGAAAUCAGAUCAAGGUGCAGUUUAUAAUAAAGAAGAGAUGGGUUACAAUAUAAUUUAUAUGUGGAUAAAUUAUUUAAAAUAAUUUUUAAAUUGGAUUUGAAAGUAAUUAAUUAUAUAUUUUUUUAAUGAUUUAAGCUCUAAAAUAUGC
RNAcentral lists this ribosomal RNA (343 nucleotides) under Danae androgyna. Its description in RNAcentral is "partial 12S ribosomal RNA". The record is from RNAcentral. Lineage: Eukaryota; Metazoa; Arthropoda; Insecta; Coleoptera; Endomychidae.